UAGCCCAGAACAUAAGCAGCAAGAGCCC
This 28-nucleotide non-coding RNA is filed under the name Bombyx mori (domestic silkworm). The record is from RNAcentral. Lineage: Eukaryota; Metazoa; Arthropoda; Insecta; Lepidoptera; Bombycidae.